Molecule: ribosomal RNA, 497 nt
Filed under: uncultured bacterium
Lineage: Bacteria
Description: partial 16S ribosomal RNA
Rfam family: Bacterial small subunit ribosomal RNA
Source: RNAcentral
GGUGAACGCUGGCGGCGUGCCUAAUACAUGCAAGUCGAGCGAACGGACGAGAAGCUUGCUUCUCUGAUGUUAGCGGCGGACGGGUGAGUAACACGUGGAUAACCUACCUAUAAGACUGGGAUAACUUCGGGAAACCGGAGCUAAUACCGGAUGAUAUUUUGAACCGCAUGGUUCAAAAGUGAAAGACGGUCUUGCUGUCACUUAUAGAUGGAUCCGCGCUGCAUUAGCUAGUUGGUAAUGUAACGGCUUACCAAGGCAACGAUGCAUAGCCGACCUGAGAGGGUGAUCGGCCACACUGGAACUGAGACACGGUCCAGACUCCUACGGGAGGCAGCAGUAGGGAAUCUUCCGCAAUGGGCGAAAGCCUGACGGAGCAACGCCGCGUGAGUGAUGAAGGUCUUCGGAUCGUAAAACUCUGUUAUUAGGGAAGAACAUAUGUGUAAGUAACUGUGCACAUCUUGACGGUACCUAAUCAGAAAGCCACGGCUAACUACGUG